Molecule: long non-coding RNA, 894 nt
Filed under: Equus caballus (horse)
Lineage: Eukaryota; Metazoa; Chordata; Mammalia; Perissodactyla; Equidae
Description: lncRNA (ENSECAG00000035788.3)
Source: RNAcentral
GUUAGCUACUCUGUAACUUUGCCUCAAACAUUUCCAUGAAGAGAACCUUCCUCAGUGCCACGUACCAAGCCAUUCAAUCUGUUGUGGUAUGGCCUGGAAGCCCACAUCUGUGCCCUGUUGUGAAGGAUUGUUGCAGUUUGGAUACUGAAAUAGUUUGAGAGGUCUUUCCUGUAAAAGGACUGUGAAAAACCAAAAGGGAUCUUUGACCAUGCUUCUUGCCACUUCCAUUGGACUCAACAACUAUAUAUUUCUCCUAAUGAUAAAUUACCAGCAGUUUGCAAAUAAGGAAGCUGAAGAUCUGAGACAUAAUUCGCUUGCCCUGAAUCCAGUAGUGGAUGAACAGGAGAGCUGAGAUAGAAGCCCAGGUCUUCUGCCUUUCAGCUCACUACCUGUGUACUGCUUAAUAACUGGCUCCUAGUCCACCUGUUGUGAUUGCUCAGGUUGAACUUCGAACCUGCCAUACAAGAACUCUGUGUGUCAUGCUGAGACCACAUUCCCUCAACUUCUCUCUUCUGUCUGCGCCUUUGAAAAUAUUCAUAGUUGCUAUUAAGUUGUUCAUUAUUAAAUCAGUCAGUCACAAAGGAUUUCUGGUGUUUCUGUUACAUGCUGGGAACUGCUGUUGGUGCUUGAGAUGUUGUGAGAACAAAAUAUUAAUUUAUACUGAGAGAAGGGUUAGACUUAUCUUUAAACAGACCCCUCACUUCUGUAUUUAUAGGUUUUUUCUCCCAAGUAACAGAAAUCCAAUUUCAAAAUAAAUUUAAGGCAAACGGAUUGAUUUGUGUAACUGAAAGCUCUAUGAGUAGGGAGCCACGCCUUCAUGUGUGGCUGGAUGAGAAGCUUAAAGGAUGUCAUACAGCCUACCUCUCUUGCUCUUAUAAUCUGCUUCCACCACAG